This 339-nucleotide small nuclear RNA is filed under the name Oryctolagus cuniculus (rabbit). Its description in RNAcentral is "7SK RNA". It matches the Rfam family "7SK RNA", at positions 1 to 287 of the family's 331-position model. Rfam says of the family: 7SK was discovered as an abundant small nuclear RNA in the mid-70s but a possible function has only recently been suggested. Two independent studies have found that 7SK RNA binds the CDK9/cyclin T complex (known as elongation factor P-TEFb). The record is from Rfam by way of RNAcentral. Lineage: Eukaryota; Metazoa; Chordata; Mammalia; Lagomorpha; Leporidae.
GGAUGUGAGGGUGAUCUGGCUGCGACAUCUGUCACCCCAUUGAUUGCUAGGGUUGAUUCAGCUGAUACGGCUGGCUACGAGGGUGUCCCCUUCCUCCCUCACUGCUUCAUGUGCGUCCCUCCUGACGCUGGGCACCAGGUAGAAGAUGACCUUCCCUGCUAGAGGAAGGCUGGUCUUCGGUCAAGGGUAUACAAGCUGCUGCACUCCCCUGCUAGAACCUCCAAACAAGCUCUCAAGUAUGUUUCAAACUUCCAUUUGGUUUUCUUCUGUAGAUUUUUAGUUAUACACUAUUUUAUUAUUCUUUAGUGGUUGCCCUGGGUGGACCUGAGACCACAGUAA